GUCCUCACGGGGAAGGAUGAGAAGCUUCGACUAAGGUUCGAUUCGAGCGGAAGCGAGAAAGCGUUGCCGAAGGCAACGACCCGAAGGGCGAGGCGCAACGCGCCGAGUCAUCCUUCCCCCACCACCA
This 127-nucleotide small RNA is filed under the name Citrobacter koseri. Its description in RNAcentral is "RtT RNA". It matches the Rfam family "RtT RNA". From Rfam's summary of the family: This family represents a bacterial cis-regulatory element known as RtT RNA. The record is from RNAcentral. Lineage: Bacteria; Pseudomonadati; Pseudomonadota; Gammaproteobacteria; Enterobacterales; Enterobacteriaceae.